Molecule: non-coding RNA, 75 nt
Organism: Myotis brandtii (Brandt's bat)
Lineage: Eukaryota; Metazoa; Chordata; Mammalia; Chiroptera; Vespertilionidae
Source: Rfam
CAUGCACUCAGGGGGAUCCCUCAGCCUGGAUUGCGAGAGGGCACAGGCCAGGCUGAGGGACCCCACUGGUGCACA